Molecule: ribosomal RNA, 729 nt
Filed under: uncultured bacterium
Lineage: Bacteria
Description: bacterial SSU rRNA
Rfam family: Bacterial small subunit ribosomal RNA
Source: RNAcentral
GUCGAACGGUAACAUAAAGAAGCUUGCUUCUUUGAUGACGAGUGGCGGACGGGUGAGUAAUGCUUGGGAAUCUAGCUUAUGGAGGGGGAUAACUACGGGAAACUGUAGCUAAUACCGCGUAGAAUCGAGAGAUGAAAGUGUGGGACCUUCGGGCCACAUGCCAUAGGAUGAGCCCAAGUGGGAUUAGGUAGUUGGUGAGGUAAAGGCUCACCAAGCCGACGAUCUCUAGCUGGUCUGAGAGGAUGACCAGCCACACUGGGACUGAGACACGGCCCAGACUCCUACGGGAGGCAGCAGUGGGGAAUAUUGCGCAAUGGGGGCAACCCUGACGCAGCCAUGCCGCGUGAAUGAAGAAGGCCUUCGGGUUGUAAAGUUCUUUCGGUAGCGAGGAAGGCAUUUAGUUUAAUAGACUAGGUGAUUGACGUUAACUACAGAAGAAGCACCGGCUAACUCCGUGCCAGCAGCCGCGGUAAUACGGAGGGUGCGAGCGUUAAUCGGAAUAACUGGGCGUAAAGGGCACGCAGGCGGUGACUUAAGUGAGGUGUGAAAGCCCCGGGCUUAACCUGGGAAUUGCAUUUCAUACUGGGUCGCUAGAGUACUUUAGGGAGGGGUAGAAUUCCACGUGUAGCGGUGAAAUGCGUAGAGAUGUGGAGGAAUACCGAAGGCGAAGGCAGCCCCUUGGGAAUGUACUGACGCUCAUGUGCGAAAGCGUGGGGAGCAAACAGGAUU